AAUAGAUACCCAGGUAGUCCACGCCCUAAACGAUGCGAACUGGAUGUUGGGUUCAACUUGGAACCCAGUAUCGAAGCUAACGCGUUAAGUUCGCCGCCUGGGGAGUACGGUCGCAAGACUGAAACUCAAAGGAAUUGACGGGGGCCCGCACAAGCGGUGGAGUAUGUGGUUUAAUUCGAUGCAACGCGAAGAACCUUACCUGGUCUUGACAUCCACGGAACUUUCCAGAGAUGGAUUGGUGCCUUCGGGAACCGUGAGACAGGUGCUGCAUGGCUGUCGUCAGCUCGUGUCGUGAGAUGUUGGGUUAAGUCCCGCAACGAGCGCAACCCUUGUCCUUAGUUGCCAGCACGUAAUGGUGGGAACUCUAAGGAGACCGCCGGUGACAAACCGGAGGAGGUGGGAUGACGUCAAGUCAUCAUGGCCCUUACGACCAGGGCUACACACGUACUACAAUGGUGGGGACAGAGGGCUGCAAUCCCGCGAGGGUGAGCCAAUCCCAGAAACCCCAUCUCAGUCCGGAUCGGAGUCUGCAACUCGACUCCG
RNAcentral lists this ribosomal RNA (543 nucleotides) under uncultured bacterium. RNAcentral describes it as "bacterial SSU rRNA". It matches the Rfam family "Bacterial small subunit ribosomal RNA", at positions 777 to 1320 of the family's 1533-position model. The record is from RNAcentral.